CCCUUAGACGUUCUGGGCCGCACGCGCGCUACACUGACCAGUGCAACAAGCAUCCGUCCUUGGCCGACAGGCCCGGGCAAUCUUUGAACGCUGGUCGUGAUGGGGAUAGACUUUUGCAAUUUUUGGUCUUCAACGAGGAAUUCCUAGUAAACGCAAGUCAUCAACUUGCAUUGAUUACGUCCCUGCCCUUUGUACACACCGCCCGUCGCUGCCCGGAACUGAGCCGUUUCGAGAAGACUGAGGAUUGCUGACUUGAGGCCUUCACGGGCUUCUAGUCGGUGAAAAUCAAUUUAAUCGCAGCGGCUUGAACCGGGCAAAAGUCGUAACA
This 328-nucleotide ribosomal RNA is filed under the name uncultured eukaryote. RNAcentral's name for it is "partial 18S ribosomal RNA". It matches the Rfam family "Eukaryotic small subunit ribosomal RNA", at positions 1470 to 1796 of the family's 1831-position model. The record is from RNAcentral.